UACGGAGGGUGCGAGCGUUGUCCGGAAUCACUGGGCGUAAAGGGCGCGUAGGUGGCGCGGGAAGUCAACGGUGAAAGUUCGGGGCUCAACCCUGAAUCGGCCGUCGAUACUCCCGGGCUCGAGCACUGUAGAGGCAGAUGGAAUUCCGGGUGUAGCGGUGGAAUGCGUAGAGAUCCGGAAGAACACCGGUGGCGAAGGCGGUCUGCUGGGCAGUUGCUGACACUGAGAAGCGAAAGCGUGGGGAGCGAACAGG
This 253-nucleotide ribosomal RNA is filed under the name uncultured bacterium. Its description in RNAcentral is "partial 16S ribosomal RNA". It matches the Rfam family "Bacterial small subunit ribosomal RNA", at positions 524 to 776 of the family's 1533-position model. The record is from RNAcentral.